AUUGAACGCUGGCGGCAUGCUUUACACAUGCGAGUCGAACGGCAGCGCGGGCUUCGGCCUGGCGGCGAGUGGCGAACGGGUGAGUAAUGCAUCGGAACGUGCCCAGUAGUGGGGGAUAGCCCGGCGAAAGCCGGAUUAAUACCGCAUACGACCUGAGGGUGAAAGCGGGGGACCGAAAGGCCUCGCGCUAUUGGAGCGGCCGAUGUCGGAUUAGCUAGUUGGUGGGGUAAAGGCUUACCAAGGCGACGAUCCGUAGCUGGUCUGAGAGGACGACCAGCCACAAUGGGGCUGAGGCACGGCCCAGGCUCCAACGGGGGGCAGCAGUGGGGAAUUUUGGACAAGGGGGGAAACCCGGAUCCAGCCAGGCCGCGUGCGGGAAGAAGGCCUUCGGGUUGUAAACCGCUUUUGGUCGGGAAGAAAUCCUCUGGGCUAAUACCCCGGGGGGAUGAGGGUACGGGAAGAAUAAGCACGGGAUAACUACG
RNAcentral lists this ribosomal RNA (482 nucleotides) under uncultured bacterium. RNAcentral's name for it is "partial 16S ribosomal RNA". It matches the Rfam family "Bacterial small subunit ribosomal RNA", at positions 28 to 505 of the family's 1533-position model. The record is from RNAcentral.